GUCCAUGGGGUCCCAAAGAGUUGGACAUGACUGAAGCAACUUAGCAUGCAUGCAGGGAAAUAAGAUCCCAGAUACCUCAAGACCUGGCACAGCCAAAAAAAUAAAAGUAAAGGAGACUCACAUGAGUUGCCCAAGAUCACACAAACAAGAGGUCUUCACAGAGAUUCAAACUGAGACUGUACAGCUCUAAGGGUGCAUUUGUUUCAUCGUGAAAUAAGCUAUGUUCAUCAAGAGAGUUGAACCAAAUAUAAGGCUCAGCUUUGAUGACUUCCAAGCACAGCUCAAGGGACUUCCCUGGCGGUCCAGUGGUUAAGCCUCAUUAAGAUUCAGGAGGCCUGGGUUCAAUUGCUGGUCAGGGAACUUGAUCAGCAACUAAGAGCCUGCACACAGCUAAAGACCCGCCCGGUACAGUCAAAUAAAUAAAGAUAAAUAAUAUAUUUUUUAAAGAGCAUAGAGAAGUAUUUUUUUUUAAUGGGGAUGAUAGCAGC
RNAcentral lists this long non-coding RNA (488 nucleotides) under Capra hircus (goat). RNAcentral describes it as "lncRNA (ENSCHIG00000002511.1)". The record is from RNAcentral. Lineage: Eukaryota; Metazoa; Chordata; Mammalia; Artiodactyla; Bovidae.